AUAAUAUUGUUGAAAAAACAAACUUUGAGAUUUGUCUUAUUAUUAUUAUUAUUAAUUAUAGUAUAAUCAAUUAUUAAAUUGAUAAUAUUAAUAAAAAGAAUAAUUGAAAAUGUCUUACUAUAGUAGUUGGUUAGAAAAUUUAAAUCUGUUUAAAAGUUUUAGGUAUUAGGGGUUGUAAAUAGGGUUGUACUAUUAAUCACCUGCAUAAAGGGUUGCAACCCUUUUUAACCAGCUGCAUCAUUUCUUAGUUAGUAAAAAAGGGUGCAAAAAAUCAAAAUGGCUUCUGUUUUUAAAAAAGGGGUAUUGUGUAGCUGCGCAGAGGGUAAUAAUACUGAGUGCGCACAAAUAUCUGAUUCGCAUACGAUUGGGGAACUGAGAUGUACGCUUCAUAGUAAAGAAACAGGGUAAUAGUUUUUUACUUCAACCAACCAGAGCUUUGUAUUUUGAGUAUAGGAUGUUAAAGGGUUGUUACUAUAAGCUGCCUUACUCGAUUACGAUGUGAAUAUCUACAGUUGUGUACAUGUGCUGAAUUGUGACAGAAGUGGUUUAUUAGAUUUUUAAAUGUUAUAAAACUAAUAAAAAUAAUGUUUAAUUACAUAUUUUUAAUGUGUAAAUAAUGCUACAACGACAAGGAUUAAAUUUAAUAGGAUUGUUUUGUAUAACUAUACUAUAAGAAUAUGAUUGUAAUAUUCACUUCAGAAACAAGGGAGAAUAUCGUUUUUUAUAAUAGGCAUGUUCUAUUUUGUCUAUACAAAACGCCGUCACUGAUUAAAGCGGCUUCAAAAUCAGAUAAAACGGUGUGAUCAUUAUGUGAAUUCUGAAUUCCGAAAUUAGUUAAGACGAACAAAUCAAAUAAAAGAAUAAUAUACUCGGAGUGCAUGCAAAUUAACCGGAAACGUCGUCCGAAAUUGUCGUAUCUAAACUAAGGAAAACGGUCUCGGACAGUAUUGAAAUUGUCAAAUAAAUGGAGUGAAUUGACGUACUGCGGCGAAAAAAAUAAAUUCAAUGGAGGCAAUGGAAUUUACUAGACAGGCGUUGACGAUGACUCAAAGAUAUAAUAUGGUUGAAAAUCUGAAGUAAUCAUAUGCAUAUUGAUUACAUUGUAAACUAAUAACAAGAACAUUUAGUGGACUGUAUGUGUAAAUUCACGAGAGUAUUUACCAAUAUUCAUCUCUAACAAUAUUGUGUACGACUAUAUUAUACUAUUUGUAUAUUUAUGUUUCUUAUAUAAAUGCAAUUUUUUAUUCAAUUUAAUAUUGUAUGAUUUUUACAUUUUUUCGAUAUUAUUGUAAUUUUUUUUAUAAUGUUUAUAUUUUCUGAAUUUAAUACGUAAGCCUUUUGUGGGACUGUUUGCGUUUAUAUAAUUAAAUUUUACUCUGUAUAAUAUAAUAAUUGUUUUUUGAAUCAAUGAGAAUAUCAUUUACUAUUGCAUUUUACGUUUAAAAAAUGAUUAGAUUCAUAUAAUUUUCUUAAUCUCAAAUACUGUUACAAACAAUAUAUUAAAAUGUAUUAAAAUAUUUAUAUUGUUUGCAUAUUAUAAUAUUUAAAGUAUGAAAUUUAUGUUAACAUAAGAUAAAUUUGUGUGGAACUAUAUUAUUAGUUAUAUAUUAGUCAUAGAGCUUGAUUAAAAUCUAAUUAAAUUCAGUAGUAAUAAUUUAAGGGUAUAAUUUGGAAAUAAAUAGUAAUUAUAGUAUUAUUUAAAACAAAAAAUCUCACACCAUGAAAUGAAUUAUUUUCCUAAUUUCAAUGAUAAAAAGAGGUAUUGUACUAGUCACAAUUAUGGUUUAGUGACUUUUAAACCGACAAGAGUAAUAUGAAUUGUUUUUAAGUCAUAGUACUCAUUAGCAAUCAAGAGUUUUUUUUUUCAAUUUUUUAUUAAUCGUUUCAAUUUAACAAAGAUAAUAAUUAUUAAACGCCAUUUUGCAAAUGAAAUAGUAAUAAACUAAUAUUAAUAAAUAUUGAAUAUAUCACUCCAUGGUCCAUAUUGGGCCAUUCAGUUGCAAAAUGAUGUUGUAUCGUUUUAUUUUUGAGUCUUUUUAAUACAUUAAUAGCAAAGUCACCAAGAGAAAGCACAAUUAAAUAUUUUUUUGAGACAUUUAUUCUUUUGAAUUUUAAAGACUCAUUAAGUGUUUAAAAUAUUAUUUUUAAAAAAAAAAAAAAAAAAAUGUACAACGUAUUAA
Daktulosphaira vitifoliae (grape phylloxera) is the source of this 2180-nucleotide long non-coding RNA. RefSeq lists it as uncharacterized. The transcript has 7 exons. The record is from RefSeq and is a predicted model, not a curated record. NCBI's taxonomy places the organism in Eukaryota, Metazoa, Arthropoda, Insecta, Hemiptera, Phylloxeridae.